GAAUUUUGGACAAUGGGGGCAACCCUGAUCCAGCCAUGCCGCGUGAGUGAAGAAGGCCUUCGGGUUGUAAAGCUCUUUCGGUGGGAACGAAACGGGCACGGCUAAUACCCGUGUACAACGACGGUACUCCCCGAAGACGCACCGGCUAACUACGUUCCCGCAGCCGCGGUAAUACGUAGGGUGCGAGCGUUAAUCGGAAUUACUGGGCGUAAAGCGUGCGUAGGCGGUUGCACAAGCUUGAUGUGAAAGCCCCGGGCUCAACCUGGGAAUGGCAUUGAGGACUGUGUGGCUUGAGUGCGGCAGAGGGAGGUGGAAUUCCAGGUGUAGCAGUGAAAUGCGUAGAGAUCUGGAGGAACACCGAUGGCGAAGGCAGCCUCCUGGGCCGACACUGACGCUGAGGGCACGAAAGCGUGGGGAGCGAACAGG
RNAcentral lists this ribosomal RNA (426 nucleotides) under uncultured bacterium. RNAcentral's name for it is "bacterial SSU rRNA". It matches the Rfam family "Bacterial small subunit ribosomal RNA", at positions 359 to 776 of the family's 1533-position model. The record is from RNAcentral.